GUUCUUCAAAACCUAACCCAUCGCCCCUAUAUUGGGCGUGUCGGGCCUCGGCCCGACUAUGGAGAUAAACGCGCACGUAAUAAGCGGACUGGACCCGGGUGCGAUUCCCGGCGGCUCCACCAAUCUUCCCCCGGAGUUAUCGCCGGAAAGUGCGGGGCCGAUCAGCAUCGACAGACGUG
Molecule: transfer-messenger RNA, 179 nt
Filed under: Phenylobacterium sp.
Lineage: Bacteria; Pseudomonadati; Pseudomonadota; Alphaproteobacteria; Caulobacterales; Caulobacteraceae
Description: partial transfer-messenger RNA
Rfam family: Alphaproteobacteria transfer-messenger RNA
About the family: Bacterial tmRNA, also known as 10Sa RNA or SsrA, is named for its dual tRNA and mRNA-like properties. Its role is to liberate the mRNA from a stalled ribosome.
Source: RNAcentral